UUCACUCCAACCCCUGUGACAUACCACUUGUUGCCUCGGCGGAUCAGCCCGCUCCCGGUAAAACGGGACGGCCCGCCAGAGGACCCCUAAACUCUGUUUCUAUAUGUAACUUCUGAGUAAAACCAUAAAUAAAUCAAAACUUUCAACAACGGAUCUCUUGGUUCUGGCAUCGAUGAAGAACGCAGCAAAAUGCGAUAAGUAAUGUGAAUUGCAGAAUUCAGUGAAUCAUCGAAUCUUUGAACGCACAUUGCGCCCGCCAGUAUUCUGGCGGGCAUGCCUGUUCGAGCGUCAUUUCAACCCUCAAGCACAGCUUGGUGUUGGGACUCGCGUUAAUUCGCGUUCCCCAAAUUGAUUGGCGGUCACGUCGAGCUUCCAUAGCGUAGUAGUAAAACCCUCGUUACUGGUAAUCGUCGCGGCCACGCCGUUAAACCCCAACUUCUGAAUGUUGACCUCGGAUCAGGUAGGAAUACCCGCUGAACUUAAGCAUAUCAAUAAGCGGAGGA
This 503-nucleotide ribosomal RNA is filed under the name Fusarium oxysporum. Its description in RNAcentral is "eukaryotic LSU rRNA". The stretch from base 138 to 291 matches the Rfam family "5.8S ribosomal RNA". The record is from RNAcentral. Lineage: Eukaryota; Fungi; Ascomycota; Sordariomycetes; Hypocreales; Nectriaceae.